This 870-nucleotide long non-coding RNA is filed under the name Capsicum annuum. RNAcentral's name for it is "long non-coding RNA (CANN_LNC020079)". Lineage: Eukaryota; Viridiplantae; Streptophyta; Magnoliopsida; Solanales; Solanaceae. The record is from RNAcentral.
ACAGGAAUACUGGAAAAUGGAAAGCAGAUACAAUCAAAUAUAGUACACACAUAAGCAAUAACAUUGAAACAUGGUGGAGCUAGUUGCUUUGAUCUUUCAAAGUGCUUCAUUUCCAGUUUUUGGAACCCACACUAGAUCAUUACUUGAUGGGAAGAAGUGACAGAUAGGUGAUGCUCCUGGUAAUACACCGAGCACUCGGAAAGAUACAUGAGAUGGAUCCCAUUCAGAUGUAUCCAAGUGACAUACAGCAAUUGAUUCCACUGUAUCACCAUUUGCUUCAUUCCUCAAUGAAACUUUGGACACCUUUCUUUCAUCGCUAAUCGUGUGAUGACAAUAGAAAACCGUGUAAUCACAAGACAGGAUAUGACACAUCACCAUCUUAGGAGCGGAAACUUCUUGUGGAACAUCCACAAUAGUAUAGUUCUGUGGGUGAGGAGUUGAGUCCUCGUUUGAGAAAUGAGUUGUUGUGGAUAGAGUUUUGACUUGGGUUUUCUCUCCCAUGAUCUCGUGAACAAAGUCGAGCAUUCCCUCCGCGGAUGUGGCACAGUACUGUGUCUCUCCCGUUAUAGGUGAUGAUAAUUCACAUAUUCUCAAUGCAUCUUCCAUGGAUUUAGCCUGUGGAGAGUUUUCAGACAACGAGAAACGUUGAAGAAGGUUUUGGAGUUCCUUGAAUGAAAAUGGAAUGGAAUCGGCUGCUUUUUUGGGAAAGAAAUUUUGCGGGGAAUUAGAAGGAGAAGAAAUUAGAUUUAUUCUUUUUUGAAAGGAGAGAGUUACUGUUUUCCCCAUCUUUAGAUCAUCCUGAAGGAAGAAAAUUGAUGCUAUCGAAGGAUCAUCCAUAUGUGUAUGGGAUGAUGAAUGCAUUAUAUGUUC